UACAGAGAGAGCAGGAAAGGAGGGCGGAGCUGAACCGGCCAUGUAGCACCCUCAGUGAUUCUCUGAAUCGACAUCUCCCAGCGGGGUAAAUGACGACAGUCCUCGGGCAUUUCUUUCCGACCUUCCUUCUCCUUCCCUGCUGCUCCCAGGACUCUUGAUUCUUGCCCUGAGACUAUGACAUGAUGCUCCUCCCAGAAGCUCCGAGGAAGCUGGAGGAGACAGAGGCAGCCACCCCCGGGUCACAGGAAGGCCUCUUUUCUUGAUGCCUGUAACCUCCUAUUCUCUGGGACUGCUCCCAACAAAGGAAGAUCUACAUGCUUUGACUGUAAGAGAAACUAGAGAGGGAGAGAGCCAUCCAGAGCCCAGACCUCUCUUUCUAGAG
Long non-coding RNA from Mus musculus (house mouse), 382 nucleotides. RefSeq annotates it as predicted gene, 53918. NCBI's taxonomy places the organism in Eukaryota, Metazoa, Chordata, Mammalia, Rodentia, Muridae. The transcript has 3 exons. The record is from RefSeq and is a predicted model, not a curated record.